This 253-nucleotide ribosomal RNA is filed under the name uncultured prokaryote. RNAcentral describes it as "partial 16S ribosomal RNA". It matches the Rfam family "Bacterial small subunit ribosomal RNA", at positions 525 to 777 of the family's 1533-position model. The record is from RNAcentral.
ACGGGGGGGGCAAGCGUUGUUCGGAAUUACUGGGCGUAAAGCGUGCGCAGGCGGCUUUGCAAGACAGAUGUGAAAUCCCCGGGCUUAACCUGGGAACUGCAUUUGUGACUGCAUGGCUGGAGUGCGGCAGAGGGGGAUGGAAUUCCGCGUGUAGCAGUGAAAUGCGUAGAUAUCUGGAGGAACACCGGUGGCGAAGGCGACAUCCUGGACCGGUAUUGACGCUGAGGCGCGAAAGCCAGGGGAGCAAACGGGA